Long non-coding RNA from Amphiprion ocellaris (clown anemonefish), 3099 nucleotides. The record is from Ensembl. NCBI's taxonomy places the organism in Eukaryota, Metazoa, Chordata, Actinopteri, Pomacentridae.
CUUCCGGGUCAGAGUUCAUCCCACACUACGUUAUCAACAAAGCUCGACGAAGCCAUGCUAGCGCAGUGGAACGACCUGCUAUUUGUAGCGAUUAUUAAGUGUUUACACUGCUUAAAGUCUUUUUAAGGCAAUAUGCCAGGUCCCACAGUUCAGUGCGGGACUGCCACAACGGUACCCGUGGGCUAAAGAAGUGGAUGGAAGAGUUUUGCCCUAUUCACGAGUGCAAUAAAGGAACCUCGCGCUGUAUAUGUGACCCGCCUUAUGUACUCGUCACAUUUCCUACUGAAAGAAAAGAUCCAGAAUGUCGUGCCGAAUGGAUUAAAUUAACCAAAGAACUACAGACUCUUCACAACCUGCUCAAACUCUUGGUACAGGACCUCACCACACGGGUCAAGAAGGUUUCCAUCUCAUUUCUACUCUGAAGCUCACCUUCUCCUGCUCAAACUGCUGACAAAUGUUUCUGCUGCUCUAAAGUCUGGUCUCCAGAACUUCCUAAAAACUCUCAAAUCUCUUCUGCUGCAGGUUGCUUUGUAGAACUGUUGCAGAAAACCUCACUAAACCACAUGGAGGGGCCUCAAGAUAGUCGUCCAAAUGAAACCAUACAAAAACCAAACUAGUACAACCCAAACGCUAAAGUCUCCUGCAGCCUACCAGAGAACCUCUGAGAACAGAGGAUCAGGACAGGAACUCUUACCUUCUGGACAACCACCGCUGGUUCACAAACAAGAAUACAGACUGUGUCUGACCAAAAACCUCUGAAGACUCACUACAGCCAAGAUAAAGACAACACAGCUGCACCAAAUCCGCUAAUCACUGCACACAUUAGCACCAUGUGCUAACUGUGGCUAAAGAACCUCAUUUACCAAGACAACGAUCCAGUACAAAGCCCUAAACCACACCAAGAAACACAGUAAAGACGAUUUUACUGCUGGAAGCUGCAAGCCAACGCCUAAAGAACAAACUAAAGCAAUGGAGCCAAACCCAGUUCACUGGUGAAGAGAAUCAGAGGAAAGGUUUGUCUACAGCUAAAUAAAGCAGGAAGACACUGAGCUGCUCAGGUGUUCCUGAUAAAACCAAGCAGCCACCUGGACAGCCAAUAGGAACACAGCUUCCUGGAAGUCCAGAGGGCUGGGUUAGUGAAGGAAAUUUAAUUUGAAGUUGAAGCAGAAAGUUAACAAAGAAAGUUGAAAACCACCUUCUGAUCCCUGAAAUCUCUGAGUUUUCACACAAAGAACACCUGAACAUGUCAAACUGGUUCCAUAGUAGAACCAUCAUUGUAAAAACGUCAUAGUAUGGUGUGUUGCUCAAAAAACAUUAGGACCCGGCUGUCAGGGGACAAACAUGUAAGAAACAUGAGAACAGAGAGAACCCAACCAGUAGGUCACAGUUUAUCAUCCCCCAGUCAUCUCCUGAAGUCCAUAUGGUGAGAGACAUCAGUAUCUGGUUGUUAAUUUACCAGAGGAUGCUUAUAAUCAUGAUGAUGUGGUCUGUACUCUACAGUAUUUUAGUGACUCAAUACAUGCCUAAGUUGUUUUUUUUAAAAUGCUUUUUAGUUUUUAAUAAACAUUUAAUAGCCUAUAUGUAAUCAAUAAAUGGCCUUUGCCUAUCUUAAGAAAAACUCACUCAGAAAUCUGAUAUGUUAACAGUACUAAAUAAAUCAAUAAAUACAUGCAUACACACAAAAAUAAGUUAAUACAUUAACUGUGUUAAGAUAAGAUUUAGAUUUUUUUAAAAAAGUUGUUUAUGUUUUUGCACAAUCCAGUAUUGCUCACUGGUUGGUCAUUACAUUUUGUUUAGUUUGAUUUCACUGUUUAAAAUGAUGCCACCUCUUUUCAGACAGAACCUGUGAUAAUAAAACAAUACAAAAUUUUUAGUUCCGUGUUAAUAAAGCACUUAAAGCUUUAAGUAUGGCUAAAUGCUUUUUUCAGAAUUAAAUAUAUCACUCCUUAGGUGGUAGUGGCCCCAAGUUCAGUAAAGUUGGAAAGAUAUUCACAGAUUCAGACUUCCAGCAUCAAUAACUCAUUAGAUAUAGGUUGUCAAAACAUAAACGGUGCCUCUUUCCCAUUGUUGCAAGGCAGACAAUGUGCUACAAGCCCAGUUUUAUCAAAAGUAGCUGUCUUUCAAGCUACAGGAAUAACAUUGGUGUCUAUGGAGUGAACAGGGUCCGUCUGCAAUUUGCAAAACCGCUGCAACAGUAAAGAGAGACAAAUAUUCAAUAACUUCACUCUUAUACAUUGUAGUGUCACUAAAAUCACUGCAGCCUUCAACUGGCUCCUGUUGACAAAGUGUUUUAACAGAAAUGUAAAUGCUGUAAUUUGAUUCUUUUAAUGAACCAUGUAACUUGAAUGGAUGUGAUGCUGGUGUGACCACAGUGCACACGUCUGAUGUUGCUCACAGUGGUCCAAGGGACGCUCAGGGAGUUUGUGUGUUUGCUCAGACUCAGGAAAAAUUACAGGGAACAUUGGUCCUCGCCUUACUAUGUGAAGUGUCUAGAGAUGAUACAUGUUGUGAAUUAGUGCUAUAUAAAUACAACUCAAUUGAAAUUAAAUUAAAGUGUAUCGUUUCUAUAUUUUAGAUUAUCCUUGAUGGCAUAAAAAAGGGUGGAAAAGGUACAUACUACAUACUAUUGUUUUAACCAGACGGAUGAACAAUUUGUUCUCACAGGCCAUCGCUCUAAUAAACAAUUAAAUCUAUAAUGACAGAAACAACUAUUUUUGUAUGAUUAACAACUCAUAACCACUGUAAAUACUGUAUAUUACAUAACUGUUAAUAUUUCAUUCUACAAACAUCGCUCUCUGCUCCAUUGCACUAUUGCAUUGAAAGUGUCAGUAAUCCUGCAUUUAUUGUUAACCUUAUCUAUUCCUAUCAUCAAAAUCUGCACAAUUUACACUAAAUGUUUGGUUCAGUGUAAACAUGUUCUUUUACACAUAUCUUUGGCUGUGAUAUUAAUCGAUAAACACUUACGUUCCUUUCUUUAAUCUGUGGGCCUGGUUUAAAUUCAUGUGUGCUUUUUGGUGUGAAUACUUUGACAGCAAAGAAAACAUUUUUUAUUCAUUGUACGUGUGCAUGUACUUGGCCAAUAAAGAACACCUGCCAUUG